RNAcentral lists this ribosomal RNA (253 nucleotides) under uncultured bacterium. Its description in RNAcentral is "partial 16S ribosomal RNA". It matches the Rfam family "Bacterial small subunit ribosomal RNA", at positions 524 to 776 of the family's 1533-position model. The record is from RNAcentral.
UACGUAGGGGGCGAGCGUUGUCCGGAGUUACUGGGCGUAAAGCGCACGCAGGCGGUCUGCUAAGUUUGGAGUGACAGUUGGUGGCUUAACUGCCAAAGUGCUUCGAAAACUGACAGACUUGAGGGCUUCAGAGGGACACGGAAUUCCGGGUGGAGUGAUGAAAUGCGUAGAGAUCCGGAGGAACACCAAAGGCGAAGGCAGUGUCCUGGGGAGUACCUGACGCUCAGGUGCGAAAGCCAGGGGAGCGAACGGG